AGUGAACGCUGGCGGUAGGCCUAACACAUGCAAGUCGAACGGCAGCACAGUAAGAGCUUGCUCUUACGGGUGGCGAGUGGCGGACGGGUGAGGAAUACAUCGGAAUCUACUUUUUCGUGGGGGAUAACGUAGGGAAACUUACGCUAAUACCGCAUACGACCUACGGGUGAAAGCAGGGGAUCUUCGGACCUUGCGCGAUUGAAUGAGCCGAUGUCGGAUUAGCUAGUUGGCGGGGUAAAGGCCCACCAAGGCGACGAUCCGUAGCUGGUCUGAGAGGAUGAUCAGCCACACUGGAACUGAGACCCGGUCCAGACUCCUACGGGAGGCAGCAGUGGGGAAUAUUGGACAAAGGGCGCAAGCCUGAUCCAGCCAUACCGCGUGGGUGAAGAAGGCCUUCGGGUUGUAAAGCCCUUUUGUUGGGAAAGAAAAGCAGCAGGUUAAUACCCCGCUGUUCUGACGGUACCCAAAGAAUAAGCACCGGCUAACUUCGUG
This 492-nucleotide ribosomal RNA is filed under the name uncultured bacterium. RNAcentral describes it as "partial 16S ribosomal RNA". It matches the Rfam family "Bacterial small subunit ribosomal RNA", at positions 29 to 507 of the family's 1533-position model. The record is from RNAcentral.